This 406-nucleotide ribosomal RNA is filed under the name uncultured bacterium. RNAcentral's name for it is "partial 16S ribosomal RNA". It matches the Rfam family "Bacterial small subunit ribosomal RNA", at positions 29 to 526 of the family's 1533-position model. The record is from RNAcentral.
AUUGAACGCUGGCGGCAGGCCUAACACAUGCAAGUCGAGCGAGCGGCGGACGGGUGAGUAAUGUCUGGGAAACUGCCUGAUGGAGGGGGAUAACUACUGGAAACGGUAGCUAAUACCGCAUACCAUCAGAUGUGCCCAGAUGGGAUUCGCUAGUCGGUGGGGUAACGGCUGACCUAGGCGACGAUCCCUAGCUGGUCUGAGAGGAUGACCAGCCAAAAUGGGACUGAGACACGGACCAAAAUCCAACGGGAGGCAGCAGGAGGGAAGAGUGCACAAUGGGAGAAAGCCUGAUGAAGCCAUGCGGAAUGUGUGAAGAAGGCCUUCGGGUUGUAAAGCACUUUCAGCGGGGAGGCGUGACCCGCAGAAGAAGCACCGGCUAACUCCGUGCCAGCAGCCGCGGUAAUAC